This is a long non-coding RNA of Ricinus communis (castor bean), 1068 nucleotides long. RefSeq lists it as uncharacterized. NCBI's taxonomy places the organism in Eukaryota, Viridiplantae, Streptophyta, Magnoliopsida, Malpighiales, Euphorbiaceae. The transcript is spliced from 2 exons. The record is from RefSeq and is a predicted model, not a curated record.
UUUUAAAUGACGAAAUCACCGCUUUAAUACGGCGAUUCUAUAAGUUCGUUUAUUCCUUUUGCAAUUCCCUUUUGCCCCUUCAACGAAGUGAGACUAUCACUAACCCAUAAAACUUGUGUGUUUCUUUUAUAUGUUCUUUCUCGUUCAAUCUGUAUGUCUUUUUGUGUUUCUCUGCUCAGUGGCUUCUCAUUUACUCCUUUGAUCAGUAAUUUUUUAAAUUCUGCACCGUUGAGUUGUUUACAAUUAUCUAAUAUACAGUAACAAAGUAUGUCUGAUUCUUUUUUUUUUUUUUUUUUUUUUUUUGUGUUCUAGAACUUAGUUUUCUUGGUUCUCACUCUGCUACAUUGUGGUUUUUCUUUUUCUGCCUUUGUUAUUGCUUGUGAUUAGAAACUAAGGCAGCAGCUAUUAUACCUGAAUCUGUGUUAAAGAAAAGAAAGAGAAGUGAGGACUGGGCUUUAUCAAAGAGCAAUGCUGAAAAUAGAAAGAGUUGAGCAAUAUGCUGCUGAAGAAUACAGAGUACGGGUAAAGAACAAAACUCUGUUGCUUGAUUGAAGUGAUUUACUUUGUCUCUGUCUUUUGAUUGAAAACUCAUCCGUCGUCUUAUUAUCUUCAAUUCAUAUAUAAUGUGUUUUGUAAUUGCUUAAUAAUACAAUGGGAAAAUGAGUUGAUAUUAUUGAGAAGGGAGGCCAAACUGAAAGGAGAUUUUUAUGUUGGACCAGAGGCCAAGUUGCUAUUCAUUGUCUGAAUCCGUGGUAUCAAUGCAAUGAACGUGAUGACUAGGAAAGUUUCUGCAACAUUUGCGUUUGAGACAGGUAUUGUUCCCUUCAUUGUGACAUUACUAAAUAAGAAGGUCCUUUACCCUGUCAUUUUCCGAUUGAGGAGUGGGCCUGAUAUUCUAUUAAGUUAAUUAAUUUUUUCUGGCACAUACUCAAUGGUGUAUUUCUCAAAGUGAACAAAGCCACAAUGAACGAUAGGGUUGAGCCAUAUGUGACUUACGGGUAAGGCAACUUGAUCCAUUACAAUUUGUAAUGUUAACUAUCUGCAACAUGAAAGACAAGUUUUGAAUAA